GCGGGCCGUGGAGCAGGACGUGCUCGAGCGGUUCGCCGCGCUGUUUGGCGGCCCGGAUGGCGAUGGACAAGCGUUCGAGCAGGUCGGUCUGCCC
RNAcentral lists this transfer RNA (94 nucleotides) under Phycisphaerae bacterium. RNAcentral describes it as "tRNA-Gly". The record is from RNAcentral. Lineage: Bacteria; Pseudomonadati; Planctomycetota; Phycisphaerae.